RNAcentral lists this ribosomal RNA (710 nucleotides) under uncultured bacterium. Its description in RNAcentral is "bacterial SSU rRNA". It matches the Rfam family "Bacterial small subunit ribosomal RNA", at positions 8 to 722 of the family's 1533-position model. The record is from RNAcentral.
AGAGUUUGAUCAUGGCUCAGGACGAACGCUGGCGGCGUGCUUAACACAUGCAAGUCAAGGGGAUCCGGUGGCAACAUCGGGUAACCGGCGAACGGGUGCGUAACACGUGAGCAAGCUUCCGAUUUGUGGGGGAUAGCCGGCCCAACGGCCGGGUAAUACCGCAUACGUUCACUGGACGGCAUCGUCUGGUGAGGAAAACUCCGGUGCAAAUCGAGGCGCUCGCGGCCUAUCAGCUAGUUGGCGGGGUAACGGCCCACCAAGGCUAUGACGGGUAGCUGGUCUGAGAGGAUGGCCAGCCACAUUGGGACUGCGACACGGCCCAGACUCCUACGGGAGGCAGCAGUGGGGAAUAUUGCGCAAUGGACGAAAGUCUGACGCAGCGACGCCGCGUGUGGGAUGACGCCUUUCGGGGUGUAAACCACUGUUGCCCGGGACGAAACUCCUUUUUCGAGAGGAUUGACGGUACCGGGUGAAGAAGCACCGGCUAACUCUGUGCCAGCAGCCGCGGUAAUACAGAGGGUGCGAGCGUUGUCCGGAAUCACUGGGCGUAAAGGGCGCGUAGGUGGCCAGGUAAGCGUGUGGUGAAAGUCCGGGGCUCAACCCCGGAUCUGCCGUGCGAACUGCCAGGCUUGAGCAAUGUAGAGGCAGGUGGAAUUUCGGGUGUAGCGGUGGAAUGCGUAGAUAUCCGAAAGAACACCAGUGGCGAAGGC